RNAcentral lists this ribosomal RNA (1379 nucleotides) under uncultured bacterium. Its description in RNAcentral is "bacterial SSU rRNA". It matches the Rfam family "Bacterial small subunit ribosomal RNA", at positions 29 to 1399 of the family's 1533-position model. The record is from RNAcentral.
UUGAACGCUGGCGGUAUGCUUAACACAUGCAAGUCGAACGGAAACGAUACUAGCUUGCUAGUAGGCGUCGAGUGGCGGACGGGUGAGUAACGCGUAGGAAUCUGCCUGAUAGUGGGGGAUAGCCCGAAGAAAUUCGGAUUAAUACCGCAUAAUCUAUUCGUAGUAAAGUGGGGGACUUUCGAGCCUCACGCUAUCAGAUGAGCCUGCGUAAGAUUAGCUUGUUGGUAGGGUAAAAGCCUACCAAGGCGACGAUCUUUAGCUGGUCUGAGAGGAUGAUCAGCCACAUCGGGACUGAGACACGGCCCGAACUCCUACGGGAGGCAGCAGUGGGGAAUAUUGGACAAUGGGGGCAACCCUGAUCCAGCAAUACCGCGUGUGUGAAGAAGGCCUGAGGGUUGUAAAGCACUUUCAAUUGUGAAGAAAAGUUAGCGGUUAAUAACCGUUAGCCUUGACGUUAACUUUAGAAGAAGCACCGGCUAACUCCGUGCCAGCAGCCGCGGUAAUACGGAGGGUGCAAGCGUUAAUCGGAAUUACUGGGCGUAAAGCGUGCGUAGGCGGUUUAUUAAGUCAGAUGUGAAAGCCCCGGGCUUAACCUGGGAACUGCAUUUGAAACUGGUCAACUAGAGUAUGGUAGAGGAAAGUGGAAUUUCUGGUGUAGCGGUGAAAUGCGUAGAUAUCAGAAGGAACAUCAAUGGCGAAGGCAGCUUUCUGGACCAAUACUGACGCUGAGGUACGAAAGCGUGGGUAGCAAACAGGAUUAGAUACCCUGGUAGUCCACGCCGUAAACGAUGAUAACUAGCCGUUGGGGGGAUUUACCCUUUAGUGGCGAAGCUAACGCGUUAAGUUAUCCGCCUGGGGAGUACGGCCGCAAGGUUAAAACUCAAAGGAAUUGACGGGGACCCGCACAAGCGGUGGAGCAUGUGGUUUAAUUCGAUGCAACGCGAAGAACCUUACCUGGUCUUGACAUCCUGCGAACUUUCUAGAAAUAGAUUGGUGCCUUCGGGAACGCAGUGACAGGUGCUGCAUGGCUGUCGUCAGCUCGUGUCGUGAGAUGUUGGGUUAAGUCCCGUAACGAGCGCAACCCCUAUCCUUAUUUGCCAGCACAUCAUGGUGGGAACUAUAAGGAGACUGCCGGUGAUAAACCGGAGGAAGGCGGGGACGACGUCAAGUCAUCAUGGCCCUUACGACCAGGGCUACACACGUGCUACAAUGGGAAGGACAAAGAGCCGCGAAGCCGCGAGGUGUAGCUAAUCUCAUAAACCUUUUCGUAGUCCGGAUUGGAGUCUGCAACUCGACUCCAUGAAGUCGGAAUCGCUAGUAAUCGUAGAUCAGAAUGCUACGGUGAAUACGUUCCCGGGUCUUGUACACACCGCCCGUCA